GGGCAUGUAGCUCAGUUGGAUAGAGUAUCAGAUUCCGGUUCUGAGAGUCGGGGGUUCGAAUCCCUCCAUGCUCA
RNAcentral lists this transfer RNA (74 nucleotides) under Oscillatoriales cyanobacterium RM2_1_1. Its description in RNAcentral is "tRNA-Arg". It matches the Rfam family "tRNA". From Rfam's summary of the family: Transfer RNA (tRNA) molecules are approximately 80 nucleotides in length. Their secondary structure includes four short double-helical elements and three loops (D, anti-codon, and T loops). Further hydrogen bonds mediate the characteristic L-shaped molecular structure. tRNAs have two regions of fundamental functional importance: the anti-codon, which is responsible for specific mRNA codon recognition, and the 3' end, to which the tRNAs corresponding amino acid is attached (by aminoacyl-tRNA synthetases). tRNAs cope with the degeneracy of the genetic code in two manners: having more than one tRNA (with a specific anti-codon) for a particular amino acid; and 'wobble' base-pairing, i.e. permitting non-standard base-pairing at the 3rd anti-codon position. RNAcentral also lists the same sequence under 1 other name. Lineage: Bacteria; Bacillati; Cyanobacteriota; Cyanophyceae; Oscillatoriales. The record is from RNAcentral.